Small nucleolar RNA from Bison bison bison, 130 nucleotides. The record is from Ensembl. NCBI's taxonomy places the organism in Eukaryota, Metazoa, Chordata, Mammalia, Artiodactyla, Bovidae.
GUUGAUGUCUACCCCUAUGGGCUUUUUCUAUAAAACCUACAUUGUUGGAAAUGCCUCAGAGAGUAACUAUGUAGUUUCCUUUACUCAUAUAACUACCUGUUAGAUCUGUGGAAAGAACUUUAAGAGAGAG